GUAACCCGCGAGGGUGCACUCUAGGGGGACUGGCCUCCGUCAAGGAGGAGGAAGGUGGGGAUAACGUCAAGUCAUCAUGGUCCUUAUGCCCAGGGCUACACACGUCCUACAGUGGCCGUUACAAUGGGAAGCUACAUCGCGAGGUGAUGCCAAUCCUGUAAAAGCGGCCAUGGUUCGGAUUGCAGGCUGCAACUCGCCUGCAUGAAGAUGGAAUCGCUAGUAAUCGCAGGUCAGCAUACUGCGGUGAAUACGUUCCCGGGCCUU
RNAcentral lists this ribosomal RNA (264 nucleotides) under uncultured bacterium. RNAcentral describes it as "partial 16S ribosomal RNA". It matches the Rfam family "Bacterial small subunit ribosomal RNA", at positions 1117 to 1382 of the family's 1533-position model. The record is from RNAcentral.